RNAcentral lists this ribosomal RNA (459 nucleotides) under uncultured bacterium. RNAcentral describes it as "partial 16S ribosomal RNA". It matches the Rfam family "Bacterial small subunit ribosomal RNA", at positions 338 to 795 of the family's 1533-position model. The record is from RNAcentral.
CCUACGGGUGGCAGCAGUGAGGAAUAUUGGUCAAUGGGCGGGAGCCUGAACCAGCCAAGCCGCGUGAGGGAAGAAGGUACAGCGUAUCGUAAACCUCUUUUGUCAGGGAACAAAGGCGGGGACUAGUCCCCGGAUGAGGGUACCUGAAGAAAAAGCAUCGGCUAACUCCGUGCCAGCAGCCGCGGUAAUACGGAGGAUGCGAGCGUUAUCCGGAUUUAUUGGGUUUAAAGGGUGCGCAGGCGGCCUGUUAAGUCAGCGGUAAAAGCCCGGGGCUCAACCCCGGCGAGCCGUUGAAACUGGCGGGCUAGAGUUGGAGAGAGGUACGCGGAAUGCGCGGUGUAGCGGUGAAAUGCUUAGAUAUCGCGCAGAACCCCGAUUGCGAAGGCAGCAUACCGGCUCCACACUGACGCUGAGGCACGAAAGCGUGGGUAUCGAACAGGAUUAGAUACCCGAGUAGUC